GAGGCAUAAAAGAUACUUCCAACUAAGGCACUAGAACGCAUGGAACCUUCAUUUAGCAACCUUCUUAUUUAGGCUACCCCCUUAAGAUGAGAUUGAUUGGGGAGACAUUAGGGACUAGUCCUCAUAACCUUUUUAAAUGCUACACAUCAUAUAGUCUUUAAAAUUUGUUGUACCGAGUCUCUUGAUCCAAGGUUGGCUUCAUGACUAAGUUCCAAUUGUUAGUACCUUUAUCACAGUUUAUCACAGUUAAGUUGCUUCACUCUCACUUUGUACAUAAAGCUUUGUAGAAUUUGGUGUCAUCUGAUCUUCAUACGCAACUCUUAGUCUGUGAGUAUCAGUAAUGACAUAAACCUCCAAUUAUAUUCUCCAAGUGGGUUGAUACCUUGGAACAAAACCAAAUUCACCAAACAUUUGUGAUCCUAACAUAUGAUCCAACAUUAACCAAUCAUUCUCCUUGUAACUUCUUUAACUAGGCUACCGCCCUUAUGAAAAGUCAACUAGGGCACAAGAAAGGUAGCUUGCAUGUUUUUCAGACAAGUUAACUAACAUUGAGAACUCCUGACAUCCCAAAGAACUUAGGUGCAAGAGAACAAACAGGUAUCCUGAAAUCUUCUCGUGAUAUGAAAACACCAGCGUAGUAAAACAAGUAUAACUCUUAUUAUGUUAAUCCAAUAGAGUUGUAGCUUAUACCGUUAGAAAACUUAUGAAAUUCUCUACCACUUUCAUGUAGAAGACCUCCUUAGGUUCUGUCUUUAAGCUUAGGUAAAACAACCAAACAUAAUCUCCUUCCUGAUAAUGUCUCAGCAAAGGUGCAGUAACUUCCAGAAGUUAUAUCUAGAGCUCCUUAACUCAUCUGGAGAUGAUCCUUACAUUUUUGAAAAGGUUGGGAAAUUCUCUACAAGUUUCGUAUACCACGUUUUCCCAGAUUCUGUCUUUAACUUGGCUGAAAAAUUAGAAAUACCAGAUCUGUCCAGAUUUUGAAGCAGAACAGAAACAUCCGAGUAUAAAUAUCAUAAUCUCAAGUUCUACUUAUCCAAAUAAGUUCCAGCUUAUACCGUUGGAAAGAAUAGAAAAUUGUCUACAAAUUUUCUAUAGAAUACUUUUCCAAAUUCUAUAGUUAUAUAUGUCUAAAACAGUAAGCAACCGAAACUGGUACAGAUUCUUGACAGCGCAGCUGCAUCAACUUGUAAUUUUCAUAACUCCAAUUCCAAAAUAGAUAUGGGGGUGAUUCUUGCGGUCAGAGAAAGAUCUUGAAGUCUCGUUGUUCCCAGAAAAAGUUGAUAUACUUUGCACGAUCAAAACUUGAGGUACACCAGAAUCAUCGCAGACUGCUCCAGAAAUCAGCAACGGAUAGGAACAAGAGAUAGCCAAACCCAACUACUUAUUUCAUUAAUCCUUAUGCCUUAGGUCUAUAAACUAAUGAAAUUGUGGAGAAAUCCCACAAGAUCAUUGCAAUCAUUACAAAGAUCCAAAUCAAGCAUAAGCAUAAUAACAAACCAACUAAGCACACUUCACUCAAUUUGCGAUACUAUCGUUCUCUUCAUAGUAAGGGUAGAUAUCUUAAAACACCUAGUCCAACGAUGCCAGAAGGUGGUAAGAAAAAAUUUUAAAAGCAUAUCAAGCAAGGAGUGGGGAUGAGACAAAUAGCAAGGAUAGGGAUAUAAUAUGGAUGAAAAUACCAAGGUUUAUAGAGCAAGGAUUUUAUGACAAUUCCAAAACCUUAAGACGACAAAUUUCUAACUAGGCUUGCGUCCUACAGUCAGCAUUGCUCUGAUACCACUUUGUAAUACCUGAUUUUAAGGAUAAAACCAGAUAUACACCAUAUGUGAGUCUUAGAAGUCAAAUCUCACAUAUAGCUACAAAUAAGGGGUAAUAUCAAAAGACAAUGCAUAAAUAUAUAACGUACUUAGUAUAAAAGAUAUAACCUUUGAUAUCAAACAGCGGACAGACAACUCCAAACUUCGGGUAUUAACUUCACUCCACAGGAUCCAACUGACUGGUUGAUCACAAGCCUAAACUCCUCCUGAAGUUUGGGGGAAAUAGCAAGAGUGAGUCCAUGUCGAACUCCACAAGUAUAGCAACUAGAUUGUAUAGCUCCCACAAUCUCAUGAUCAAUGUGACAUAAAUAAUGUAGAGCAUUAAACAAUAAAUAAUGAGUAUUUUAACACACAGGAAUCAUCACCCUUAAUGUAGAUGUCCCCAAGGCCGCUCCUGACCGUGAGCUCGGCUAGUAUACUAGUUUUAACACUCUGCAGAGGUUGCACAUCUUUACCCAUGAGUCAUGAUUUACCCUUUCGCCCGAGGUGAUUAGCCUCUUAACCCACUUCCAAGGAAGGUCGGCAGGGAUCACUAUGAAGCCUUUCAAAAGUUCGUCUAACAUGUUAGGGCCGCAAGGUUUCCUUCGCGAGCAGAUAUAGAUACCCCCCUUCCGAAUGGCACAAUGACGCGCAGCCUAUACACAUAGGGACAGGGGCUCGCAUUAUACCCGUGUCGGUUCAGCCCCUCUAGCGCCCUUUCGGGUAACCGCUAACAAGCUAGAAAAGGUCUUCAUACUGAGCUAAAGCCAGAGCCAUUAUAGCCCUCAUAUUUACACUGUUGUCCCGGGUGAUCACGUACAGAUAAAUCAUCAAGUUGCUAAAAAGUCAUUUUUAUCGUUUUUUUACUUAACAUUAAUCUAGUCAUAGGAUCACGGUCACAUAAAUAAAAUCCAAAUGCUAUACUUGCCUUAAUCCAAUUGCUCUUGCUUAUCCUUUUGGUUCAGCUGGUCUUACUUGUUGCCAAAGCUCUUAUCUUGAUCACCAAAAACUGCUCUCCGACUAAACUCGAUCAUCGAUCACACAAACAAUCGAAUAAAACAUACACGAAGCAAACAAGGCUACAAUUAGAACAGUACACCAAUCAAUAAAAAGGUCUGAAAACAAAUAUACGCAGCCCCAAUCAUGCAGACACGAAAAGCACACUAAUCGGAGUUACGAUGAAUAAGAAACGACUACCGAGACUUUUAUAUUAUAUUAAAAAGACUAUAUAUACUUGAUUUAUUAUUUUAAUUGAGCAAAACUAUGUAAAAAGUUAUUUAGGUUAGGUUAAAAAAAUAAUUUAAUCCAAAAACUAACCUAAAACUACUCAUAUUUUAUUUAUAAACUGUGUCAUAUAAUUUAAUCAAAUUAAACGUUAUUUUUGCAAAAGAAAAAAACAUAUAUGAAAGCAACUAAUUGAGUUAUCACAUAUGCAACGUAUUUAAACUAAGCAAACUUAGAAAUAUAUUUAAGUUUAUUGUUAAUAGCAUUUAUUAAUAAAAAGCCACGGUGUAAACCCAUGUUUGUUUUAAAUUGCAAAAGAAGUUCCUAUACUUUAAUUAAAUUAAUAUUUAAUUAUGAUAAAUAUAUAAACAUAUGGCAUGGCAAACAUCUCUACUAACUUAUAGAUCAUGUGGUCAUAAAUACAACACAAAAGAACAAACCGAAAAGAGUCAAAAGGAUGAAACGCAUAGACGCUAGGAGUACGACUGUAACAUCUAUUAUUGUAAUCAAGAGUUAUUUAAUAGAUCAGCAGGACAUAACUAUAUGGAAUUAACAUAACAGGGUUGAUUAACCGAAAGCAACAUGGCAUAGAAGAUAGGACCUGCCCUAGCACGUCUUGAAGCUUCGCUCGUUCCUAGUAGAAGCUUCUCUCCAGGUGGGCAUCAACCAACAGAAACAACGGCAAGGUGACAGGCAGCAGCAUCGGCAUCGCAGGGGCUGGUGCACCACGUCGACGUCGUAGGAGUGUUGGGCACGUACAGGAGCCGGAAAUCAGGUGGACUGCAUUGGCUUGGUUGGAGCUUAGAGAGGAUGACCACCACAGCGGGGGCGGCCGGGGAAGAUGUACUGCACGUCUCGGCAACGAAGUAUGAAGUAGAGAGACAAAAUAUUAUUUACUACUUUAAGAGAUUUCCAAACUAGACUCUCUUUAUGUAGUUUUGGUGUAAUUUGACCAAGGGGUUAGUACAUAUAUAUAGGGAGAGAAACUCCCCACCUCCGCGUCAACUAGCGAUAUGGUACUAAUUGAUUUGCAACCUUUAUUUUUACUAAUAGGCCUAACUAAUUAUUAAGCCCAUUAGUAAAGAAAACAUUUGGCCUUUGAAUCAUGAUGACGUUGGCCUAGGGUAAAAUGAAGGAUUUAUUAUUUUCGAGAUUAAUUAUUUUCAUGGAUAAAAUAAUUCUAGAAAAGUCCAGAAUUAGUAGUUAAGCCACGAAAAAUACUUCAAAAGCUCCGAAAAUUUGGGAAAAAUUCUCAGAAACAAUAUGAAACAUGAAGAACCCAAAUAAAGUAUUUGGGGCUCAUGAUAAGAUAAUUUGGAGCAUCUAAAAUUUAGAUUAUGCUCCACGGAAAAGGCCAGAAAAAUUCCCGAGAAGUUUACAGAGAUUGGUUGAUGGACCAGGAACUAAAAGAAGUGCUUUGAGUGACAAAGAAAAGAUUUUAGGAAGGUCCUAAUUAAAAUUUGAGCUUAGAAAUAAGGAAUUUGGUUGUAGAUAAAAGAUAAAUACGUGCCAAAUAAGGAAGAUCGAUCUACUAAACGUAUUUUAAAUAUUUUUCUUACUAUCAACACAUAAAGAGCAACAAGCAUCACUUCAAAACAUAUGCACCAGCAUGUAUGCAUAAUAAUAUUGCUAUGCCUUAUAAUAAAUUUUAAUUUAAUAAAAAAUAUUAUUUUUCCUAUAUUUUCAUGAGCACAAAAAUACAAAAUUAAAUAAUUUUAUCUAUAUUUCAAAAGGAAUAAAUUUUAGGGUGUUACAAUUCUACCCCCUUAAGAUGAAUCUCGUCCUCGAGAUUCGAAAGAUGGUGAUCAAAGAAACAUGGACACUCCACUUUUGAACCUUAUUCACUUCCUCGAGUAGCUCCUUAGUAGCCAUUCCAUUGCUUUCGUCACUCCGAACAUCUCCCUCAAUUGUUUCCAAGAGUUCAGUAGUGCACAUUGUAUAGAUAAGGUUUUUUUUUACUCAUAGCUCAAACAAGGGUAAUACCUACACAUGAUAUUGACUUCUCAUCCAGAGGCAUAAAAGAUACUUCCAACUAAGGCACUAGAACGCAUGGAACCUUCAUUUAGCAACCUUCUUAUCUAGGCUACCCCCUUAAGAUGAGAUUGAUUGGGGAGACAUUAGGGACUAGUCCUCAUAACCUUUUUAAAUGCUACACAUCAUAUAGUCUUUAAAAUUUGUUGUACCGAGUCUCUUGAUCCAAUGUUGGCUUCAUGACUAAGUUCCAAUUGUUAGUACCUUUAUCACAGUUUAUCACAGUUAAGUUGCUUCACUCUCACUUUGUACAUAAAGCUUUGUAGAAUUUGGUGUCAUCUGAUCUUCAUACGCAACUCUUAGUCUGUGAGUAUCAGUAAUGACAUAAACCUCCAAUUAUAUUCUCCAAGUGGGUUGAUACCUUGGAACAAAACCAAAUUCACCAAACAUUUGUGAUCCUAACAUAUGAUCCAACAUUAACCAAUCAUUCUCCUUGUAACUUCUUUAACUAGGCU
Molecule: long non-coding RNA, 5506 nt
Filed under: Sorghum bicolor (sorghum)
Lineage: Eukaryota; Viridiplantae; Streptophyta; Magnoliopsida; Poales; Poaceae
Description: long non-coding RNA (SBIC_LNC017722)
Source: RNAcentral